CUCCUACGGGAGGCAGCAGUGGGGAAUCUUGCACAAUGGAGGAAACUCUGAUGCAGCGACGCCGCGUGAGCGAUGAAGCCCUUCGGGGUGUAAAGCUCUUUCGACGGGAACGAUAAUGACGGUACCCGGAGAAGAAGCUGCGGCUAACUACGUGCCAGCAGCCGCGGUAAUACGUAGGCAGCAAGCGUUGUUCGGAAUUACUGGGCGUAAAGAGUGUGUAGGUGGUGUUCCAAGUUUGUCGUGAAAUCUCCCGGCUUAACUGGGAGGGUGCGGCGAAAACUGGAAUGCUUGAGGAUGGGAGAGGAAAGCGGAAUUCCUGGUGUAGCGGUGAAAUGCGUAGAUAUCAGGAGGAACACCCGUGGUGUAGACAGCUUUCUGGACCAUUUCUGACACUGAGACACGAAAGCGUGGGUAGCAAACAGGAUUAGAUACCCUGGUAGUCCACGCCCUAAACGAUGCAUACUUGGUGUGAGCGAUUCAUUUCGUUCGUGCCGGAGCUAACGCGUUAAGU
RNAcentral lists this ribosomal RNA (511 nucleotides) under uncultured bacterium. RNAcentral describes it as "bacterial SSU rRNA". It matches the Rfam family "Bacterial small subunit ribosomal RNA", at positions 336 to 865 of the family's 1533-position model. The record is from RNAcentral.